This is a non-coding RNA of Taeniopygia guttata (zebra finch), 939 nucleotides long. The record is from RefSeq and is a predicted model, not a curated record. NCBI's taxonomy places the organism in Eukaryota, Metazoa, Chordata, Aves, Passeriformes, Estrildidae.
CCGCUCCCUGCGCUGCCGGUGCCUCCCUCCUGCCCCGGGACUCAUCCCUGCGCUCACGUAGGCACAUGCAAAUCCCAAAUCCCUCCCUGCCCCAAACCUCGCCUGCCGCCUCCUCAGCUCCCCUCACCUGCGCCGUUCCCCCUGGGAAAUCGCCCAGUCCAACCUUCUGCUGCGCCCCAAACCCCAAUUUUUAAGUGUUUCGCGGUUUUCCUCACCCCACUCCUCCCUGCUCCAAACUCAAUCCUGGUUUUCAGAUUUCAUAACGGGAGGAGGCACCCUAACGCCUGAUUCCAUCUCGGUUCUGAUGGGCACGGAAGGAGGAUUAACACGCUGCAGGAUUGAUUAUCCCCCAUCCCAGAGACAAUUAAAGCUCUGCGUGUUUCGGGGAUGAAAGUGCAGCAGGGCUCUUAAACCUUAGAGCUGAAAGGAAAUCGGGAAAUGCAAGGAAAUCCAGCUUGCACAGAUCCAUGGAUCCAUCCAGGCACAGAAUUCCCAUGGUCGAACCAGUUCCACAAAUCCCAUUCAAGUGGAGGUGCAAAAGUCCCCAUUUCGGGGCAUUUAUUCGGGUUUGUGGCAGCUGAAUUUAAAAUAAGGAAGAAUUUAAAGAGAAGCAGGAGGAGGCUCUUUCCAUGGAUCUCCAGAAGCUGCGCCCGCUGCUUUGCCUCAUUCCUGCUUUUUUGGUUUUUUUCCCCUGGGAAAAUGGGCUCAUCUGGAUCCUGCCCAUCCCUGCUCCGAUCUCUCCAGGCUGGGGCAGCGCUGCCUCAUUGCCGGUGCUCUCGGCUCCCUUUGGAACGGGAACAGGAGCGGGGCUGUGCUGCUGCCCGGGGGUCACAGGAACAGCUGUGCCAGAUGUUCCGAGCGUGCGCCAAAAGCCCUGAAACAGGCGGGUUUCGGGUUUCGGCUCCGGGUUGGGACAGCGAGCCAAAUUCAUUAAAUAAA